GACAGCAGCCGCCACGGUAAUACGGAGGGUGCAAGCGUUAAUCGGAAUUACUGGGCGUAAAGCGCACGCAGGCGGUUUGUUAAGUCAGAUGUGAAAUCCCCGAGCUUAACUUGGGAACUGCAUUUGAAACUGGCAAGCUAGAGUCUUGUAGAGGGGGGUAGAAUUCCAGGUGUAGCGGUGAAAUGCGUAGAGAUCUGGAGGAAUACCGGUGGCGAAGGCGGCCCCCUGGACAAAGACUGACGCUCAGGUGCGAAAGCGUGGGGAGCAAACAGGAUUAGAUACCCCAGUAGUCCCUGUCUCUUAUAC
RNAcentral lists this ribosomal RNA (306 nucleotides) under uncultured bacterium. RNAcentral's name for it is "partial 16S ribosomal RNA". It matches the Rfam family "Bacterial small subunit ribosomal RNA", at positions 507 to 807 of the family's 1533-position model. The record is from RNAcentral.